RNAcentral lists this small nuclear RNA (112 nucleotides) under Echeneis naucrates (live sharksucker). RNAcentral's name for it is "U5 spliceosomal RNA (ENSENLG00000011777.1)". It matches the Rfam family "U5 spliceosomal RNA". From Rfam's summary of the family: U5 RNA is a component of both types of known spliceosome. Lineage: Eukaryota; Metazoa; Chordata; Actinopteri; Carangiformes; Echeneidae. The record is from RNAcentral.
ACUCUUGUUUCUCUUCAGACCGCAUAAGUCUUUCGCCUUUUACUAAAGAUUUCCAUGGAGAGGAACAGUACGAGACAACAACAAUUUAUGACACUCUGCGCUGGCGUGGGGU